GAAUAGUUUUAUUCUGGCUAGUUUAUUUAUUUUGACUUUGUUUUAUAUGUGAGUUUUAUUGCUUGAUUGAUUUAAUUAUAUUUGAUUCUAUGAUGAUUAAUUAUUUAUUGGUUGUUUUGCAGUUUUUAGUAUUAUUUAUUUAAGGGAUUUAGAUGUAGUUGUAGUUUUGAGUUUUGGUAAAGUUUGUGCCAGCAACCGCGGUUAUACAUUUAAUGCAAGUGAAUAGUUAUAGUUAUAUAGUUAAUUUUUAUUUAUGGUUUGUUUUUAUAUUUAUUGUUGGGUGAAAUUUUAAUUUUUAUGGUUUAUCAUUUUUGUUUAUUGAAGCUAUAAAAUCUUUAUUUUAAACUAGGAUUAGAUACCCUAUUAUUGGUAGAUGUAAAUUUUUUUACUUGAGUAGUAUUAGUUAUGAUCUUAAAACUUAAAGAAUUUGGCGGCAUUUUAGUCUGUUUAGAGGAAUCUGUUCCGUUAUCGAUAUUCCGCGUUGGAACUUACUUAAUGUCAGGUUUAUAUACCGCCGUUUGAUUUAUGAGAAUCCUUAUUUUGGGUUUAAAUAAUUUUCUUAUUACUUUUAGUGAGUAUUAUUUCAGGUCAAGGUUUAAUUUAUGGUUAAGGGGAGAUGGAUUACAAUAAAUUUUAGUUUAAUUAUGGAUUAUUAAUUGUAAUAUUUAAUAUGAAAGUGGAUUUAACAGUAAUUUUUCUUAUUAUGGUUUAAUGAUUUUAGCUCUAAAAUGUGUACACAUCGCCCGUCGCUCUCGUUUGUUUAAUGAGAUAAGUCGUAACAUAGUAGUUGUACUGGAAAGUGUUGCUAGAUUGAC
This 815-nucleotide non-coding RNA is filed under the name Polyphaga aegyptiaca. Lineage: Eukaryota; Metazoa; Arthropoda; Insecta; Blattodea; Corydiidae. The record is from RNAcentral.